Molecule: long non-coding RNA, 612 nt
Organism: Perca flavescens (yellow perch)
Lineage: Eukaryota; Metazoa; Chordata; Actinopteri; Perciformes; Percidae
Exons: 2
Source: RefSeq, a predicted model, not a curated record
GCGGGGAGGCGAGAGCUGAGGCAGGCUGGUGCAGGAAACCGCGAGGGAGGGACUGGAGGGAGAAGCCAGCUGACUGGAGGCAGAGUGACUGGGAAGAUAGUAACUGAAAUGAGAAGACAGAAAACAGAUUACAAAAGCACAGGCAGGAAACCACAAUAUUCAGGAGCUUGAGUCAUGUGUCACAGAGGAGACAGGAGCAACGAUCAGGCGAAGAUGGUGAGUCAAUCCGGGGUUUAUAUAUUGCGUUUGAUUGUAGUUGAUGACUGGCAGGUGUAUGUCGGGAGGAGUGGUAAUGAGGAGGCGAGCAGGUGUGGGCAAUCAGCUGGCUGGCACAGGCAGGAGGGGAGGGGGGGACACAGAGAGAGACAGAGCCAACACAAACUCCAACCGGACUCCAACCAUCACAAUGCUUUUACACAGCAGAUGGGGACAGCCGCCAUCACCCAAUUUACUUUUUCCCGGGCUGUGCAAAAGUGGCUGCGCUAUGCCAGAACGGGCAGGAGGGACUGGACCACAAACCAGUCAGCCGUCAGAGGACCAUGAACUGUAAAUAGGCUAAAGAGGACAAAUAAUGAAAGAAGGCUAAUACAAUUCAUUUGCUUUUACCUUAAA